GACGAACGCUGGCGGCGUGCUUAACACAUGCAAGUCGAACGGAAAGGCCCUGCUUUUGUGGGGUGCUCGAGUGGCGAACGGGUGAGUAACACGUGAGUAACCUGCCCUUGACUUUGGGAUAACUUCAGGAAGCUGGGGCUAAUACCGGAUAGGAGCUCCUGCUGCAUGGUGGGGGUUGGAAAGUUUCGGCGGUUGGGGAUGGACUCGCGGCUUAUCAGCUUGUUGGUGGGGUAGUGGCUUACCAAGGCUUUGACGGGUAGCCGGCCUGAGAGGGUGACCGGCCACAUUGGGACUGAGAUACGGCCCAGACUCCUACGGGAGGCAGCAGUGGGGAAUAUGGCACAAUGGGCGGAAGCCUGAUGCAGCAACGCCGCGUGCGGGAUGACGGCCGUCGGGUUGUAAACCGCUUUCGCCUGUGACGAAGCGUGAGUGACGGUAAUGGGUAAAGAAGCACCGGCUAACUACGUG
Molecule: ribosomal RNA, 468 nt
Filed under: uncultured bacterium
Lineage: Bacteria
Description: partial 16S ribosomal RNA
Rfam family: Bacterial small subunit ribosomal RNA
Source: RNAcentral